Molecule: ribosomal RNA, 465 nt
Filed under: Vreelandella stevensii
Lineage: Bacteria; Pseudomonadati; Pseudomonadota; Gammaproteobacteria; Oceanospirillales; Halomonadaceae
Description: partial 16S ribosomal RNA
Rfam family: Bacterial small subunit ribosomal RNA
Source: RNAcentral
CCUACGGGAGGCAGCAGUGGGGAAUAUUGGACAAUGGGGGGAACCCUGAUCCAGCCAUGCCGCGUGUGUGAAGAAGGCCCUCGGGUUGUAAAGCACUUUCAGUGAGGAAGAACGCCUGGUGGUUAAUACCCAUCAGGAAAGACAUCACUCACAGAAGAAGCACCGGCUAACUCCGUGCCAGCAGCCGCGGUAAUACGGAGGGUGCGAGCGUUAAUCGGAAUUACUGGGCGUAAAGCGCGCGUAGGUGGCUUGAUAAGCCGGUUGUGAAAGCCCCGGGCUCAACCUGGGAACGGCAUCCGGAACUGUCAAGCUAGAGUGCAGGAGAGGAAGGUAGAAUUCCCGGUGUAGCGGUGAAAUGCGUAGAGAUCGGGAGGAAUACCAGUGGCGAAGGCGGCCUUCUGGACUGACACUGACACUGAGGUGCGAAAGCGUGGGUAGAAAACAGGAUUAGAUACCCGAGUAGUC